UCACGGGAUUGGAACAGAAAUGAUAUUUUCGCAAAAUUUAUUUCUGUCCUUCCCCAACUUGCAUUACCUGUAGAAUUUCUUUUCGAAUUUCUCUGUGUUGGGCCCCGCCAACUUGCAUUACCUGUAGAAUUUCUUUUCGAAAUUCUUUGUGUUGGGGGCCCGCCAUUAUAACACUGUAGGUCCUACUAUAUUAAUUUAU
RNAcentral lists this non-coding RNA (199 nucleotides) under Staphylococcus aureus subsp. aureus NCTC 8325. RNAcentral describes it as "Staphylococcus sRNA 35 (srn_0335)". It matches the Rfam family "Staphylococcus sRNA 35 (srn_0335)". From Rfam's summary of the family: Other name: Srn_0335, SAOUHSCs258. Northern blot transcript confirmed in exponentially growing and stationary cells in three cultivation media. Trans-encoded. The record is from Rfam by way of RNAcentral. Lineage: Bacteria; Bacillati; Bacillota; Bacilli; Caryophanales; Staphylococcaceae.